Molecule: ribosomal RNA, 253 nt
Filed under: uncultured bacterium
Lineage: Bacteria
Description: partial 16S ribosomal RNA
Rfam family: Bacterial small subunit ribosomal RNA
Source: RNAcentral
UACAGAGGUGGCAAGCGUUGUUCGGAAUUACUGGGCGUAAAGGGCGCGUAGGCGGCCUUCUAAGUCAGACGUGAAAUCCCCCGGCUUAACCUGGGAACUGCGUCUGAUACUGGAAGGCUUGAGUGCGGGAGAGGGAUGUGGAAUUCCAGGUGUAGCGGUGAAAUGCGUAGAUAUCUGGAGGAACACCGGUGGCGAAGGCGGCAUCCUGGACCGGCAUUGACGCUGAGGAGCGAAAGCCAGGGGAGCAAACGGG